CCCGGCCCGCCCCCGAGGUCCGCCAGGAGGCGCGCUUGGCGGAGAUCCAGCCGCAGGUCUUUUGCCUGCGCCUUAUCUCUCGCCUUUGACCCCCGCGCGGCCCGCGCUCAGUCUGGCCCAGGGUUCUGUUCCGUUCGCGGCACGUCCGCUCGACCCCCUCCCAGGUCCCCUCUUCUGGCGUGGCUCUGACCAGCCCAUCCGCAUACACACGGCGGGCGCCCGGAUCCGCGGGAUCUCGCAGCGGGGCGUUGCUGGGGGACGCCCUCACUCCGUCUCAGGCCUCAGAGGCCCCCUCGGGUUCCCCAAGCCUGGAGACGUCUCCCAGCUCGCAGGCCAAGACGCCCGAGUUCGUGGUUGGUGCAAGUGAAAGUGGCCCAGGAUCAGCAGCGCCCCGGAGCGGGGAGCCUGGGCCAGCCUCGAAGGGAAGACAACGCUGGACGAGGCAGAGGUGGUCUGUGAACCCCUGUGUCCCACCUGGGGGGCUCAUGAUCCAGCUGCUCCGGGCUGAAGGGAAGGGGUUCCAGAGCGGCUAGGCCACCGUCUCCUCAUCUGGAAAAGCGGCUUCACCUUUGGACAUCAAGCCUCUCCUUGAAGCAGAUCCAGGGCAGGUGGGGGAAGGCCCCGCCUUCUUGGCUGUGGGGCCCCAAGCAAGUUGCUUCACAUCGCUGAGGUCUGAUUUCUACACGUGGGAUAGCGAACCUGCGCCUCCCAACCCAGCUUCGCGUCUUUUGCACCUGCUGUUUCCUCCACCAGACUGUGAUUUCCCUUUCCAAAUGUGUGCAUCCUUCUCCUUCAGGCCUCAGGGGCCCUCUGCAGAGCACCCCACACCGCUACCCCCAAGAGCUCCUUUGCGCAUCGGGGAGAGGAAGGGCCAUAAAGCUGCUUUAUGGCGUUUAAGGCGACAUCGCCUUGCGCCUGUGGGGGCUCGGAGCCGGCAGCUGUUUCUAUUCAUAGUAAGGGGACACAUAGUGGAAUGGGGGAGUCCAGACCCCAGGAGAGAAGCAGCAGAUCCUGGGAGAAGCGAAGGGGGAAGCCCCUGAGAGAGAUGUGGGCCGAGGUCAGAGAGAGAUUUCAGGCGGGAGGUGGGGUGGCUGGAGGGAAGGGUCAGCCGGCAGGAAGAGAUGCGGGCUGAGCUCUCUGCCUUUGGGCUGCUGCUUGGCUGCCUGAUGCCCUCCUUCCCCUACCCCCACCCCAUGGGUGAGCAUGGAGUAUUCAGGAUGGGCUUCCUAGAGGAGGUGACCUCUGAACCUGCGAGGUGAGUGGAGGGGGGCAUUAAGCCGAGUUAGGGUCCAGAGGUGAGUGAAGAAGAGAGGACAGCCACCAAAGGCGCUCCAGGGCUCUCCCAUGAGAGACACAGUCAGACUUCAUUUUUGACUCUGCAGCGGGUGCUUCUGCGGCCCAGUGGGGGAGGGGGUGCAGACAGGAGAGAAAGGAGGGACUCCAGGGGGAUGGAGUGGUAAACUGGCCAGGGCUCUGGGCAUCAGGGGAGGCCGGGACCUGGUUGGCAGGAGCGGAGAAAUGGCAAGUCCAUUGUGGGGUGUCUGGGGAGGGGCAGCGGGGACCCAGGGGACCCUGGGACCUGAGGGAGACAGGGGAAGCCCCUUGCCUUUCCUCCAGGUGUCCCCACCUUUUGCGCUUGAACGGGGGACAGAAGGGUAGGCCCGGAGCAGCAGAAGCCCUGAUCCAGGUGGAAGAGGCUAGACUGUUGAUUCAGACGAUGGAGAAGGGGACCACGAGCCAAGCAAAGCAGGUGCCCCUAGAAGCCAGAACCACGUUCUCCCCAAGAGCUUCCAGAAGUAAUGUAGCCCUGCACACACCCUGACUUGAGCGCAGGAGACCCGUUUGGACUUCUGAGCUCCAGAACUAUCAGAUAAAUGUGUGUUGGUUUUUGUUUU
This is a long non-coding RNA of Mustela lutreola (European mink), 1895 nucleotides long. RefSeq lists it as uncharacterized. NCBI's taxonomy places the organism in Eukaryota, Metazoa, Chordata, Mammalia, Carnivora, Mustelidae. The record is from RefSeq and is a predicted model, not a curated record. The transcript is spliced from 2 exons.